GAGUCAAAAAGACCGCGAAACCGUUAGGAGGGAAACGAAUGCAGCUGAAGUGGCUCCGUAUCAGGUUCAGGGGAUGUCGGUGGACGUUCCGGUUUCGGACAGCUCGCGCGUCCUUGGUCGGAGAGGCCGUCGACUUCCUUGCACUCCUGUUGGGAGCCGGCCAACAGCAGUUGCUUCUGGCCCAGAAGGUCGGUCGGGAGGUACCUCUGCACUCGUGCAGGGAACGUAUAGCCGUCCGGUUCGGCGGUCCGGGAGCGACUGAGGAGAGUCGUGAACUUUCACGCGUGCAGCGCAGGCCCUUCGGGGCCGGGUCGCCUCUGUUCGUUUGGGCCCCGCGGUUGGGACUGCUUGCAGUGUCUGCCGACGGUCAGCCUGCUCGGUCGGGGGAGUGGCCACGCCUUGCGCUCUAGUUGUUGGUGCUCAAAUGGCUGCAUC
RNAcentral lists this ribosomal RNA (435 nucleotides) under Cliona celata. Its description in RNAcentral is "eukaryotic LSU rRNA". The record is from RNAcentral. Lineage: Eukaryota; Metazoa; Porifera; Demospongiae; Clionaida; Clionaidae.